UAGAGUUUGAUCAUGGCUCAGGAUGAACGCUAGCGGCAGGCUUAAUACAUGCAAGUCGAGGGGUAACAGGGGAGCUUGCUCCCGCUGACGACCGGCAAACGGGUGCGGAACACGUACGCAACCUUCCCAAAACUGGUGAAUAGCCCUCCGAAAGGAGGAUUAAUACACCGUAACAUAACGAAGUGGCAUCACUUUGUUAUUAUAGUUCCGGCGGUUUUGGAUGGGCGUGCGCAUGAUUAGAUAGUUGGCGGGGUAACGGCCCACCAAGUCUACGAUCAUUAAUUGGUGUGAGAGCACGACCAGUCACACGGGCACUGAGACACGGGCCCGACUCCUACGGGAGGCAGCAGUAAGGAAUAUUGGUCAAUGGACGAAAGUCUGAACCAGCCAUGCCGCGUGAAGGAUUAAGGCCCUCUGGGUUGUAAACUUCUUUUAUCUGGGACGAAAAAAGGGUAUUCUUACCCACUUGACGGUACCAGAGGAAUAAGCACCGGCUAACUCCGUGCCAGCAGCCGCGGUAAU
RNAcentral lists this ribosomal RNA (522 nucleotides) under uncultured bacterium. RNAcentral's name for it is "bacterial SSU rRNA". It matches the Rfam family "Bacterial small subunit ribosomal RNA", at positions 1 to 524 of the family's 1533-position model. The record is from RNAcentral.